RNAcentral lists this transfer RNA (94 nucleotides) under Endocarpon pusillum Z07020. It matches the Rfam family "tRNA". Rfam says of the family: Transfer RNA (tRNA) molecules are approximately 80 nucleotides in length. Lineage: Eukaryota; Fungi; Ascomycota; Eurotiomycetes; Verrucariales; Verrucariaceae. The record is from Rfam by way of RNAcentral.
UCCGUGUUGGUGUAACGGUCAACAUUUCACGUUUUCACUCACUUCAAGUGGUUUGAGAGCCGUGAGGCUCGGGGUUCGAUUCCCCGACGCGGAG